RNAcentral lists this ribosomal RNA (301 nucleotides) under uncultured bacterium. RNAcentral describes it as "partial 16S ribosomal RNA". It matches the Rfam family "Bacterial small subunit ribosomal RNA", at positions 509 to 807 of the family's 1533-position model. The record is from RNAcentral.
CAGUCGCCACGGUAAUACAGAGGGUGCGAGCGUUAAUCGGAUUUACUGGGCGUAAAGCGUGCGUAGGCGGCUAAUUGAGUCGGAUGUGAAAUCCCUGAGCUUAACUUAGGAAUUGCAUUCGAUACUGGGAAGCUAGAGUAUGGGAGAGGAUGGUAGAAUUCCAGGUGUAGCGGUGAAAUGCGUAGAGAUCUGGAGGAAUACCGAUGGCGAAGGCAGCCAUCUGGCCUAAUACUGACGCUGAGGUACGAAAGCAUGUGGAGCAAACAGGAUUAGAUACCCCCGUAGUCCCUGUCUCUUAUAC